Molecule: ribosomal RNA, 72 nt
Filed under: Pectobacterium carotovorum subsp. carotovorum ICMP 5702
Lineage: Bacteria; Pseudomonadati; Pseudomonadota; Gammaproteobacteria; Enterobacterales; Pectobacteriaceae
Description: partial 16S ribosomal RNA
Rfam family: Bacterial small subunit ribosomal RNA
Source: RNAcentral
CUUAAAUUGAAGAGUUUGAUCAUGGCUCAGAUUGAACGCUGGCGGCAGGCCUAACACAUGCAAGUCGAGCGG